This 1356-nucleotide long non-coding RNA is filed under the name Cyanoderma ruficeps (rufous-capped babbler). RNAcentral describes it as "lncRNA (ENSCRFG00000004643.1)". Lineage: Eukaryota; Metazoa; Chordata; Aves; Passeriformes; Timaliidae. The record is from RNAcentral.
CUCACUGGGCACUGCAGGGGAACCAGUCUGACAGGACCCUGGAGUCAGUGGAGAGGGGAAAAAAAGAAAACCUGCAGAUGAAUAGUGUUUUGAGGCAGUAAUAUCAUAGGAGAACCAUGUAUUACAGAGACAAUAUGAUAUAUCCCAGCACCAGGAGUGGGUCAGAAAGACCAGGAUAGGAUGGCACAUCUGCCGUCUUGGCAGAAAUCAAACUGCAGCCUGCGGUGGGACUUGAGCUGGGUUAGGUACCACUGCCUGCGUCAGGAGCAGACCCAGAGUACAAAUAACAUAACGUGGAGAGUUUUUUAAGAAACUGAAAAAAGGAUCCAGUUCUGGGAAUCCUGAUGAGAGUCCCAGCUUCGAAACGCAGGAGAAAAUGGGACUGGUGCCAAUUGCACCUGGCCUCCGCCGGCAGACACCUGAAUAACCCAGAGGCUCCGUCGGGCAGCCUCCCCGCCGCCUUCCGCAGCGAGCCGGCGGUGCCGGCCCGCGGGCCCUCGGGGCUCCAGCCGGGGCGCUGCGCCGCGGCUCCUGCGGCAAAGCCCCCGGCCCUGCCUCACGCACGGGAGCGGCGCCACCGCCCCGCGUACCCCCGGAUCGGCUUCCCGGCCCCGCCUGGAGGUGAGGGAGGGCCCGGCGCUCCCCGCCCGGCGCCACGCGGGGGGAGUUUCUCCUCGGCGCGGGCAGGUGGGGCCGCUCCCCCGCCCGCCCCGCCUCAGCCCCGCAGGACAGCGCGGGCAUCCCGCGGUGUUCCCGGCUCGGCCGCUGCCCCUCGUCGGGAGCCGCCGCCAGCAGCAACAGGUCCGUGCCCGCUCCUCCCUCCGCCUGCCAGGCGAACAAAGCGGCUGAGCGCGGCCCCGCGCCCGCCCAGCCCCUCCGCCAGCCCGGCCCCCGCUCUUCAGCCAUUUGCCUCGCCUGGCAUCGCAGCGCCGCUCCCACCCGCCUUCCCGGCCUCCCCCGCCCGCUCCGCUGCCUGGGCGAGGCGCCGGGGCCGCUGCGCUGCGGGAGCUGCCCCGGAGCCGUGCGGGGCUCGUCGGCCGCCGCCGAAAGGACCAGGACCAAUUGGUUGGCAAUGCUGCACCCUUUUCUUCAUCCUAAAAUGCUCCUUGGAUUCUAACUGGCAGUAUUGGCUUCGGGAGGAUUACAAGACUGGGGGCAAUGCAUAUGAGGAGCACUGAUACGAAGAAAACUUCCCGAAGGUCAUGCAAAGGCAAACUUGGCUAGUGGGGAAUCGCCUUCCAGAAUAGACCGCAGCCUCAGCCUUCCACUGAAAUAGUUGCACAAGGUGAAUAUGUUAUGAUAGUACUCCUAAGUAUCUGCCAUUAAAGGAGAUUUUUGCUUAUCACCCGGCGCAGU